AUGACUUGUUUUGGAUGCAGUACAAUUCAGUUCGUGGGCGCGCCAGCAACGACUGCAGCAAGGCAGCCCACCCCAAAAUGCAAGCGGCAACGACAGCAACACAUCCCACCCCAAAUGCGAGCGACGGCGAGCAUUGGCCAAUGCAGUGCAUGCGUACACUUCAGCUUGUCUGUUUCGUUUGAAGAUUUUAUUGCUUAUAAUGGCAGCGAUUCAUUUGUAAAAAAGUGGUGGAACUUCGAUGCAGCUCAUUCCAGAAAACUCUGUGGUUCAGUUCAAAUAUUGAGUCUCGGUUUUGUUGUUCUUGCAGUAGGGGGUAACAUCAAAAGGCAAAAAAAGAAGUGA
This 342-nucleotide ribosomal RNA is filed under the name Triticum aestivum (bread wheat). RNAcentral describes it as "partial small subunit ribosomal RNA". Lineage: Eukaryota; Viridiplantae; Streptophyta; Magnoliopsida; Poales; Poaceae. The record is from RNAcentral.